UACGUAGGGUGCGAGCGUUAAUCGGAAUUACUGGGCGUAAAGCGUGCGCAGGCGGCGCGUUAAGACAGGUGUGAAAGCCCCGAGCUUAACUUGGGAAUUGCGCUUGUGACCGGCGUGCUGGAGUGUGGCAGAGGGAGGUGGAAUUCCACGUGUAGCAGUGAAAUGCGUAGAGAUGUGGAGGAACACCGAUGGCGAAGGCAGCCCCCUGGGCUGAGAUUGACGCUCAGGCACGAAAGCGUGGGGAGCAAACAGG
RNAcentral lists this ribosomal RNA (253 nucleotides) under uncultured bacterium. RNAcentral's name for it is "partial 16S ribosomal RNA". It matches the Rfam family "Bacterial small subunit ribosomal RNA", at positions 524 to 776 of the family's 1533-position model. The record is from RNAcentral.